Molecule: long non-coding RNA, 243 nt
Filed under: Olea europaea (common olive)
Lineage: Eukaryota; Viridiplantae; Streptophyta; Magnoliopsida; Lamiales; Oleaceae
Description: long non-coding RNA (OEUR_LNC002740)
Source: RNAcentral
CUUCCUGGGUGAUUGCAAAGGUAGAUAGGGGAUGGGCCUUUGGUGAUCACGGGAGGGCGGACCACUCGACUAUGCCCUUGUUAUGAUUAUUGGCGCUGUCGGGUGGGAGACUUCUUGGGUGAUCAUAGGGGUAGUUAGGGGAUGGGCCUCUAGUGGUCACGAGAGGAUGGUCCACUCGCCGGUGUCGAUUUCAUAUUGGCCACUUGAUUAUUGAUAUUGAUAUUAUGCAGAGCUCUAUCCGGU